UUAGGCCUGAAAACAAAAAUAGGUUUUAAUGAACCGUUAACAUAUUAGAGGUUUCAGUGUGGCACCUAUGAGCAAUCAAAUCUAAAAGUAUGGAACUUGUCAGUGCUUCAUUGAAACCCAAAUUAAUAUCGACUUCCGUUCAGCCAUUUGUUACAGCGUUCAAAAGCAACUGCGUAACAGGAACAACCCAGUGAACAGAACAAAAGACAGACAGAGAAUGGAAGAGACUGAGUGUGAGACCAUAUAAUAAGUCUGACGCGCAGUCACACACAUCUGGUCCGACGCAUCGCCCUCCGUUCAUACACACUGGCUCACACACACCUGUGGAGAAAUGGAAAGAUUCAUCUCUCUUCCUCCUUGAUCAGACAGGCCAUAUGUAACUCCUCAACUAACGUCUGAUCUUGGCUCCCAGAGCGCCAUUUUCUGUCAUUUCGAUCAACAAAACAACUCUAUACUUUCCUUCCAUAUCCUGUGACUUAAAUCCCAUCAUGCCAUGUGUUUCAAAGGGGGCAUAGAGCGCGGCCCAGAAUAUCCCUCCACACAUGAGCAGAUGUUAUUUCGUACACAGUGACCACCGUUCUUGCAGGAUGGGCUGCACACGGCUGAAAGUAAGAGAAGCACAUAAAAGUCCAGCAUUUGAUGAAUGAAAAUCACACCUGUGUUCUCUAAACUGAAGACGGACACAUCAAACAGCCGUAAGGUCAAAUAACCGACAGCAAAUCUGACAUGACUGGCAAAACACACUCUAAAAGCUCCUACAUUUCACAAAACUUGAAGCAACCCAGACAUUAGAGUCAUUCCCCAUCAUCAAAAACAUCUUUACCAAGCUGCUGUUUCAAGCCAUUACUUGAAUCAUUCCUCACCACAAGAAGCUGCUGCAGAGGAAUCGAUAUAUACACAUCAAACGUCCUGAAUCUGGGGCUACGACAUGAGCGCAAGACUUCAAUAGAAUCCAAAUGGUUUUUAGGGCUGGUCCAUUUUAUCGUUUUAAAGUGCAGUAGUCAUGCUUCACCUCACACUCUUAAGAAAUUGAUAUCCGGCCUUUGUAAGCUCUCAAAAAACAAGGCGAUGCAUCAGGAAAGAAGAU
This is a long non-coding RNA of Sinocyclocheilus anshuiensis, 1087 nucleotides long. RefSeq lists it as uncharacterized. NCBI's taxonomy places the organism in Eukaryota, Metazoa, Chordata, Actinopteri, Cypriniformes, Cyprinidae. The record is from RefSeq and is a predicted model, not a curated record. The transcript is spliced from 5 exons.